RNAcentral lists this ribosomal RNA (200 nucleotides) under uncultured bacterium. Its description in RNAcentral is "partial 16S ribosomal RNA". It matches the Rfam family "Bacterial small subunit ribosomal RNA", at positions 328 to 539 of the family's 1533-position model. The record is from RNAcentral.
ACGCUCGACACCUACGGGGAGGCAGCAGUCGGGAAUAUUGCGCAAUGGAGGAAACUCUGACGCAGUGACGCCGCGUAUAGGAAGAAGGUUUUCGGAUUGUAAACUAUUGUCGUUAGGGAAGAUACAAGACAGUACCUAAGGAGGAAGCACCGGCUAACUAUGUGUCAGCAGCCGCGGUAAUCUGAGCGGGCUGGCAAGGC